UCAGCAAGUACAUUUUGGGAUCCCAUUUACAAUAAGGUCUCCAAACAGAAGAUUUAUCUGAGAAAACGUUCUAGCAGCUCCGAAUUAUGGCAGUUGUUAAUGAGAACAAAAAUGUAUUUAUUCAGCCAGAGCUGUGCACCAAAAAAAUUAGAGUUGGGAAGAGAAAGAAGCUGGGCAAACCCCAAUCCUUGCUGUGAGACUGCGGAGGGGAGAAGCAAACGUCUAGCAGGGAUUGUUCCAGCUGGUGUUCGGCAACCCGGUGUACCUGCAACAAGCAAGCUGGCCCCUACCUUCUGCUUAGCAAGCCAACUAAUAGUUAGCCAGCAUUGCCUCCAAUUACAACAGGUACUGUGGCUUGAUAUCUGAGGUUUGUUCUCUUAAACUACCUGCAGCUCU
RNAcentral lists this long non-coding RNA (396 nucleotides) under Calidris pugnax (ruff). RNAcentral describes it as "lncRNA (ENSCPUG00000012317.1)". Lineage: Eukaryota; Metazoa; Chordata; Aves; Charadriiformes; Scolopacidae. The record is from RNAcentral.